CCUACGGGAGGCAGCAGUGGGGAAUAUUGCGCAAUGGGCGAAAGCCUGACCCAGCAACGCCGCGUGAAGGAAGAAGGCUUUCGGGUUGUAAACUUCUUUCAAGAGGGAAGAGAAGAAGACGGUAUCUCUUGAAUAAGCCACGGCUAACUACGUGCCAGCAGCCGCGGUAAUACGUAGGUGGCAAGCGAUGUCCGGAUUUACUGGGUGUAAAGGGCGUGCAGCCGGGCUGACACGUCAGAUGUGAAAUCCCGCGGCUCAACCGCGGAACUGCAUUUGAAACUGUCAUUCUUGAGUACCGGAGAGGUCAUCGGAAUUCCUAGUGUAGCGGUGAAAUGCGUAGAUAUAAGGAAGAACACCAGUGGCGAAGGCGGAUGACUGGACGGCGACUGACGGUGAGGCGCGAAAGCGUGGGGAGCAAACAGGAUUAGAUACCCUAGUAGUC
This 442-nucleotide ribosomal RNA is filed under the name uncultured bacterium. RNAcentral's name for it is "partial 16S ribosomal RNA". It matches the Rfam family "Bacterial small subunit ribosomal RNA", at positions 338 to 795 of the family's 1533-position model. The record is from RNAcentral.